GCUCUUAAUGCACCUGUGUUUGAGUUGGAUGCUCUGGCAUCUCAGUUCCUAUUAGGCAGCUUUAAAAUUGCUCUGCACAUCUUUCGUGGCUCAGCACCUAUCUCAGUUCAGCACUUCUUGGAGUUAAUUAAAAGCAGGAUGGCCUGUGACAGCUGGAACAUUACCUUUGGUCUCUUCCCUGCAGGGAGAAACUCCCUGAAAUGAAAGCUCGGCCAGAAGCUGGGGUUUCCUGGGUCUGAGAUCAUUGAUGAAAAUGUUGACUAGCAAUGGGCCUAGUACUGAAUCCUGUGGAACCCCAUCAGAAACAUCCCUAUUUGAUGAUGAUUCCCCAUUGCCAACUACUUUUUGAGAUCUGACAGUUAGCCAGUUCUUCAUCCAUUUAACGUUUGCUUAACUGACGUCGUAAAAUGCUACUUUUUAAAAUCGGAAUGUUGUG
Chelonia mydas (Green sea turtle) is the source of this 436-nucleotide long non-coding RNA. RefSeq lists it as uncharacterized. Lineage: Eukaryota; Metazoa; Chordata; Testudines; Cheloniidae. The transcript has 3 exons. The record is from RefSeq and is a predicted model, not a curated record.